AAAAGUUUAGCUAAUUCUAUCAUUACUUUCUGUAAUGUAGCUAACACUGGUUAGAAAAAAGAUAACAGUCUGCUGUGCAGCUGAUAAAAUAAAAAUAACGGUCUGCUGUGCGGCUGAUAAAAAAAACAUAACGGUCUGCUGUGCGGCUGAUAAAAAAAACAUAACGGUCUGCUGUGCGGCUGAUAAAACAAACAUAACGGUCUGCUGUGCGGCUGAUAAAAUAAAAAUAACGGUCUGCUGUGCGGCUGAUAAAACAAAAAAAAAAAUAACGGUCUGCUGUGCGGC
Long non-coding RNA from Cotesia glomerata, 285 nucleotides. RefSeq lists it as uncharacterized. NCBI's taxonomy places the organism in Eukaryota, Metazoa, Arthropoda, Insecta, Hymenoptera, Braconidae. The record is from RefSeq and is a predicted model, not a curated record. The transcript is spliced from 2 exons.